RNAcentral lists this long non-coding RNA (457 nucleotides) under Homo sapiens (human). RNAcentral describes it as "non-protein coding lnc-TIMM21-5:5". Lineage: Eukaryota; Metazoa; Chordata; Mammalia; Primates; Hominidae. The record is from RNAcentral.
CCCGCCGGACCCCGGGACUACGGAAGCCAUCCCGUCCGGCCACCCACACCCGCGCCGCGGCUGGGGCUUGGGUUGGGGACUGUGGCGGCGAAGAAGCCGGGGGAGGGAGUUCUCACAAGAUCUGAUGGUUUAAGCGUGGCAGUUUCCCCUGAGCUCUCCUUCCUGCUGGUAUGUAAGGCGUGCUUUGCUUCCUCUUCACCUUCCGCCAUGAUUGUACAUUUCCUGAGGCCUCCCCAGCCAUGCAGAACUGCAUACAACUUAGGAUUCAUAACUACAUAUAUACGGAUAGAAGUGCAUGAACAGAAAAUCUGCCCUUCUGGAAUACCAAAUGCAAAAUUAAAGUGACUACAAGCAGAAUUUGGAGAAAAAAAUAAAAGAUGCAAUAUAGUUUUUAAAAUCAUUGUUAAAAUAUAAUGAGUCUGUACUUUGCUUAAACAAUAAAAAAGUCUUCGAUUUA